RNAcentral lists this unclassified non-coding RNA (272 nucleotides) under plant metagenome. RNAcentral's name for it is "partial contains small subunit ribosomal RNA, internal transcribed spacer 1, and 5.8S ribosomal RNA". The record is from RNAcentral.
UUUCCGUAGGUGAACCUGCGGAAGGACCAUUAAUGAGUUGUCAUGGGGUUCGAUGCUGGCAGCCAGUUUUUGGAUGCAUGUGCUUGCCCUAACAAUCAUCUUCUUCCAAACACCUGUGCACAUUUUUGAGGGAGUCUUGAGUUGGUUGCCGCUCUUGGGUGAUUUUCUCACAUUCCCUUAAAUCAUUAUACGCUAUUAACAAUGUUGAACGUGCUCUGUGCCGCAAGGCCAUUAAUAUAAUACAACUUUUAACAACGGAUCUCUUGGCUCUC